UCUCUUCACAGCAAUAAGACCCUAACU
RNAcentral lists this non-coding RNA (27 nucleotides) under Rattus norvegicus (Norway rat). Lineage: Eukaryota; Metazoa; Chordata; Mammalia; Rodentia; Muridae. The record is from RNAcentral.